GGCGGCCCCACAGAUGGCGGCCCCACUGAUGGCGGCCCCACUGAUGGCGGCCCCACAGCGUCACUGCGGAGAGCUGUGCUGCCGGUCCCAUUACUGUGGGUCCCAUUGGCGCUGUGGGCCCCAUUGGUGCUGUGGGUCUCAGUGCUGUGGGUCCCAUUGCUGUGGGCCCCAUUGCUGUGGGUCUCAGUGCUGUGGGCCCCAUUGGUGCUGUGGGGCUGCGGAGCGGCCGUGGUGGAGUUGGGCCCCAUUGGGGUCGGAGCUGUGGGGUCCGGCUGACAGCGGCGCCCAUCGGCCUCCAGGCGCAGCCCAUCGCCGCAGACGCAGCUGUAGGGGGCGCUGU
RNAcentral lists this long non-coding RNA (340 nucleotides) under Gallus gallus (chicken). The record is from RNAcentral. Lineage: Eukaryota; Metazoa; Chordata; Aves; Galliformes; Phasianidae.